Molecule: long non-coding RNA, 989 nt
Filed under: Homo sapiens (human)
Lineage: Eukaryota; Metazoa; Chordata; Mammalia; Primates; Hominidae
Description: HSALNT0274099
Source: RNAcentral
CUUGUUUUAUUUUGCAAUUCCCUAGUGACAUAUCAUGAUAAGCAUCUUCUCAUAUGCCUGCUUGCCAUCUGCAUGUCUUCUUUGAGGUGUCUGUUCAUAUCUUUUGGCCACUUUUAAUCAUCCUGAACUUUUCACAAUCUAUUUAGAAUUAAUACUGUACCGCCUCACAUAAAAAAUAAGGACACUGCAGCUAUAUAAGUCUACUUACUCCCCUCUCCCACCACCUUUGAGUUAUUGUGUCAUAUGUUUUAUAUCUGCAUACAUUUUAAGCCCCAUAAUACAAUAUUAUAAUUUCCUUUUUUUUUUUUUUUUUUUUUGAGACGGAGUCUCACUCUCUUGCCCAGGCUGGAGUGCAGUAGUGAGAUCUCAGCUCACUGCAACCUCCACCUCCUAGGUUCAAGCGAUUCUCCUGCCUCAGCCUCCCGAGUAGCUGGGAUUACAGAUGUGUGCCGCCACGCCCGGCUAAUUUUUUGUAUUUUUAGUAGAGACGGGGUUUCAUCAUCUUGGUCAGACUGGUCUCGAACUCCUGACCUCAAGUGAUCCACCCGCCUCAGCCUCCCAAAGUGCUGGGAUUAUAGGCGUGAUUAUAGGCCACUGUGCCUGGCCUAUAAUUUCUUAUUUAAACAGCUAGUUGUUUUCUGAAGAAAUUAUGAAAAUAAACUUCCAGAUAGUUUUUUAAUAGUUGCCUAUAUAUUUGCCAUUUCUGAUGUUUUUAUUUCUUCUCAACUUCCAACUUAUAUUAUAUCCCUUCACUCUAAAGCAUUUCUUUUUUCUUUUAAUGUUUCUUGCAGUGCAUAUCUGCUAGUAACUAAUUCUCUCAGCUUUUGCUGAUUGGAACAUGCCUUUUUUUUUUUUUUUUUUUUUUGAAAUGAUGUCUUGCUCUGUCGCCCAGGUUGCAGUGAACUGAGAUCUCACUACUGCACUCCAGCCUGGGCAAGAGAGUGAGACUCCAUCUCAAAAAAAAAAAAAUUUUUUUGUAUUUUUAGUAG